UUGGUGAUUCCGAGUUCCACGCGCCCCUGGUAUUUCGAGGUCUCGCUACUGUCUAGUUAUGUUCAGGCUUUGUCACGGCGUAAUGAGGUGAAUAGCCAACUUGUUGUUUUUAUAGUCUUAGAGCGGCGCUGGUGGCGCGUGCAUUGUGGCGAAUUGGCGCUGGAGAUCGCGUUCAGUGAUCACAACAUUUAUCCGGUGGCUGAAUGAUGUGUCUGUCUGUCUGUCUGGCUGGCUGGCUGCGGUACCUCUGAGUAAUUAUACAACUUCGCGUCUGCUGUUUGUUCAAUCUAAUACCAGUGGACAUUAGGAGAUACUUCUUCAACAUGAUAACGCUCCAGAGCGUCGGCUCUGCUGGUUUAAAACUACCAAGACCCGCUACUUGGAUCAGGAGGGAUUCCCUUUUCAUAUCAACACCGAGGAAUGUUUCAAUGGCAUACAGCAACCUUGAAAAAGGUGACCUGCACUUACAUGUAUGUGGUAAUAUCAGGUGGACACCUCCACUUGGAUGAAGGAAUGCGAUUAUAACUCUCUCCUUACAGUGAUUCAGAGUUUGAACCAGACUCUUGGACUCUGCUUGCCAGCAUCCACAACCAGAACUCCUUGUUUGUGGUGGGAAAGAAGAUCGUGAUGUGUCUGGCAGCAGCUAACAACCAGGAUGUGGUUGGUGUGCAGCUGCCUUAUGAGUCUCUGAUUCAAUUCCUGAGAAGUCCUUCAGAAAUCGAUUGUAACAGAGCUCAUUGGGGGUCUUGUCAGGGUGCUUGCAACUCCCUGUGUCCACUAUUACAACUUCCGGGACGUGUUUUAUGAACUACUUCAGUUUGGAUUCCUCACAAAUGACUCAGCUCCUGAGGCAUCCUUUAAACGACUCUGACACUAACAAGCAGCAAGGACAUCACAAAACUCCAGAAUCUAUGCUUCCACCACCCAUAUGAUCCCAAUCCACUCCAAGCCUUUUCCUGGAGGCUGUCUGAUCCAGCCUGUGCCAUAGCUAGUGAGGGCAUAGCCAGAAAUUUGACGGGACAACUUCACUGAGGCUCCGGGAGGUUUAACCUCAGCAGGAGACGAGGUCAGACUGAUGCCAUGCACAUCUGAGAAGAGGAGAGCGUUAAAACACACAGAAGCUAUUAAACACACUUCACUUCAACUCAGACUGAAAUAUGGAGCAUAUAAAAAUGUAAGGUGUGGAGGGACGUGUUUUUACUCACAGGGCACAGAGGAUAUCAGAAGAAGAAGAGGCCAGCUCAUGAUUCAUCUGCUGUACUCGACCAAACACAGAGACUGCUGUGUAUUUACAGUGUAUUUAUAUCUGUCUGAGGUUGGGGAGAUUUGCAUGCAGUAUGGGUUAUGUAUUUAACAUUUAUGGUGGUCUUUCUAUAGUACAGCAUUUUUUCAAACAUUUUAAUUCAUAAAACUGUGUAGACAAAUUCUUACAGGAACAAAUUAAUUAAUUCAAUUUAAUCAAAAUAUAGUUUCAUGGCUGCAUAUGAAGAAACAAAUGAGAAAUGGAGAAAAAAAAACCCCUGAAACUUACAUGAAAUGAGAAGAAAUAAAAUACAAUGUCCUAACAUCAUCCUUCUCUGAGUUCUGCUUCACCCAGAUUUAAAGUGUAUGGGAGUGUUAUCU
Ictalurus punctatus (channel catfish) is the source of this 1623-nucleotide long non-coding RNA. RefSeq lists it as uncharacterized. The record is from RefSeq and is a predicted model, not a curated record. The transcript is spliced from 8 exons. Lineage: Eukaryota; Metazoa; Chordata; Actinopteri; Siluriformes; Ictaluridae.